CAUGGAAAAAAAAUACCACAGAGAACCCAAAAGAAGAUUCAAUGUUAUUCAAACUUACUAUUGGGAAUAAGCAAUUGCUCAAAUCUUAAUUAAGAUAC
Strigops habroptila (Kakapo) is the source of this 98-nucleotide long non-coding RNA. RefSeq lists it as uncharacterized. The record is from RefSeq and is a predicted model, not a curated record. NCBI's taxonomy places the organism in Eukaryota, Metazoa, Chordata, Aves, Psittaciformes, Psittacidae. The transcript has 4 exons.